RNAcentral lists this ribosomal RNA (490 nucleotides) under uncultured bacterium. RNAcentral describes it as "partial 16S ribosomal RNA". It matches the Rfam family "Bacterial small subunit ribosomal RNA", at positions 30 to 507 of the family's 1533-position model. The record is from RNAcentral.
AUUGAACGCUGGCGGCAGGCUUAACACAUGCAAGUCGAGCGGUAGCACAGGGGAGCUUGCUCCCUGGGUGACGAGCGGCGGACGGGUGAGUAAUGUCUGGGAAACUGCCUGAUGGAGGGGGAUAACUACUGGAAACGGUAGCUAAUACCGCAUAACGUCGCAAGCCCAAAGAGGGGGACCUUCGGGCCUCUUGCCAUCAGAUGUGCCCAGAUGGGAUUAGCUAGUAGGUGGGGUAAUGGCUCACCUAGGCGACGAUCCCUCGCUGGUCUGAGAGGAUGACCAGCCACACUGGAACUGAGACACGGUCCAGACUCCUACGGGAGGCAGCAGUGGGGAAUAUUGCACAAUGGGCGCAAGCCUGAUGCAGCCAUGCCGCGUGUGUGAAGAAGGCCUUCGGGUUGUAAAGCACUUUCAGCGAGGAGGAAGGUGGUGAGCUUAAUACGUUCAUCAAUUGACGUUACUCGCAGAAGAAGCACCGGCUAACUCCGUG